UGUGUUACCUGUUGGGAGGCGGCCACGGCUCCGGCUGCUUGGACACUCUGCUCCGGAUCGGCACCAGACCGUUGGGCGCGCGGGGUUAAAGUUGACUCUGUUUUGGGGGCGGGCGCGAGCUCGAGCUCGAGCUCGGAGCCGGAUCGACCCAGAACCGGGAGUGAGAUCAGCGCCAAACUGGAUUCUCAUGCACUCUUGGAGAGCCGCUGUCACUCCCGACGUGCGGACGGAGAGGGACGGACGGAUCUCACUCACUCACAAACACUCCACUUCCGAAGAGUGACAGAUACCGGGAAGGCCGCCCGACAGGACCGGGGAGGGGAGGAGGGGGAAGUUAACGGCGAGCGGUGGCCCAGGGCCGGUGAGAAAGCUGAGCAUGAACUCUGAAGUACCCUUGACAGACUGGAAAACAGGUUGAGUCUCCUUUAUAAUGUUUAACUGUGAAUGGGCGUGGUACUUGAUAGACAUCCAUGGUAAAAGCCCAUUUCGUCAUGAAACAUUUGAAGAAAUGGAGGCAGAGCAUGUGAUGCUGAGGUCAGUGAAACAAUAUCAGCUGUCCCAACAGCCUUGGAUGCACCUGGACCCACAGACCCCACCACAGGUGCUCGAUUGUGCUUCUUGAGAGCGAAUCCACAGAAAGCAAAUGGCCUAGAUGGAGUCACCGGUUGAGCACUCAGAUCCUGUAUGGACCACUAGUGGGAGUAUUGGCUGACUCUCCUUACUAUGAUUUGAAAUGCCCACCUGCUUCAAGAAGACCACCAUCAUCCCAGUGCCAAAGAAAAAUCAUGCAGCACAGCCUACCGCCCGGUGGCUCUCACCUCCAUAAUUAUGAAGUGCUUCAAGAGAUUAAUUGUGGUUGACAUCAACUCCAGCCAACCAAAUUGCCUUGAUCCUUUGCAAUUUGCCUACAUCGCAAUAGGUCCAUGGCAGAUGUCAUCUACCUGACCCUAAACUGAUCCCUGGAACAUCUCGGUAACAAAGAUCCCUAUGUCAGGUUCCUAAUUAUCAACAACAGCUCUGCUUUCAACACCAUAAUUCCAAACAAAUUCAUCUCUAAACUCCGAAACCUAUGCCUGGCUGUAACUGGAUCUUCAAUUUCCUGACCCACAGACUGCAAUUGGUAAGAAUUGCCGACAACACCUCCUCUUCAAUAAUCCUCAACACCUGCAACGUUGCAUACUCAGCUCCCUCCUACACUCCUUAUACACUCAUGACUCUGUGGCCAAAUUCCAUCCAAAUUGCGUUUAUAAGUUUACUAAUGGCACCACCAUUGUAGGUCACUUUUCAAAAAAACGAGAGUACAGGAAAGAGAUUGAGUGCUUAGUGGCAUGGUGUCAAAAAAACAAGCUCUCCAUCAAAGUCAGCAAAGUCAAGGAACCGGUCAAUGACUUCAAGAAGCAGAGUGGAAGGCACACACCGUCUGCAUAAAUGGUGCUGAGGUGGAGAUGAUCGCAAGCGUCAAGUUCCUGGAGUGAUGAUUAACAACAAUCUCUCCUGGUCCACACCCAGCCAUGCGACUGUCAGGACCUCAACUUCCUCAGGAGUCUAUUGAAAUUCAGCAUGUCCACAAAGACACUGACCAAUUUUUAUGGAUGCCUCAGAGUGAUAUGGCAACUGCUCUUUCCAAGAUCACAAGAAACUAUAGAGAGUGGUGAACACGGCCCACUCCAUCAUGCAAAUCAUGACUCCAUCCAUUGACUCCAUUUCACUGCCUCGGGAAAGCAACUAACAUAAUCAAAGACUCCUCCCAGUCUGAUUAUACUCUUUUCCACCCUCUUCCAUGAGGCAGAAGAUGUAAAAGUUUGAAUACAAACAGAUUCAAAAUCAAUUUCUUCCCCACUGUUAUCAGACUUUUGAAUGGAUCUCUCAAAUGUCAAUGUUGAUAUCUCUGCACCUUCUCUGUGACUGUAACACUGUAUUCUGUAUUCUGUUCUGUGACCUUGAUACGCUUUGAAUGGUAUGAUCUGCCUGUACAGUACAUAAAACAAAACUUUUCACUCUACCUCGGUACACGUGACAAUUAAUCAAACUCAAAAUAAAGAUAGAACAAACUA
Hemiscyllium ocellatum (epaulette shark) is the source of this 2054-nucleotide long non-coding RNA. RefSeq lists it as uncharacterized. NCBI's taxonomy places the organism in Eukaryota, Metazoa, Chordata, Chondrichthyes, Orectolobiformes, Hemiscylliidae. The transcript is spliced from 3 exons. The record is from RefSeq and is a predicted model, not a curated record.